AGUGAACGCUGGCGGUAGGAUUAACACAUGCAAGUCGAACGGCAGCACAGUAAGAGCUUGCUCUUACGGGUGGCGAGUGGCGGACGGGUGAGGAAUACAUCGGAAUCUACUUUUUCGUGGGGGAUAACGUAGGGAAACUUACGCUAAUACCGCAUACGACCUACGGGUGAAAGCAGGGGAUCUUCGGACCUUGCGCGAUUGAAUGAGCCGAUGUCGGAUUAGCUAGUUGGCGGGGUAAAGGCCCACCAAGGCGACGAUCCGUAGCUGGUCUGAGAGGAUGAUCAGCCACACUGGAACUGAGACACGGUCCAGACUCCUACGGGAGGCAGCAGUGGGGAAUAUUGGACAAUGGGCGCAAGCCUGAUCCAGCCAUACCGCGUGGGUGAAGAAGGCCUUCGGGUUGUAAAGACCUUUUGUUGGGAAAGAAAAGCAGCAGGUUAAUACCCCGCUGUUCUGACGGUACCCAAAGAAUAAGCACCGGCUAACUUCGUG
RNAcentral lists this ribosomal RNA (492 nucleotides) under uncultured bacterium. RNAcentral describes it as "partial 16S ribosomal RNA". It matches the Rfam family "Bacterial small subunit ribosomal RNA", at positions 29 to 507 of the family's 1533-position model. The record is from RNAcentral.